AGGCACAAAACCUACUUUUUCUUUUAAUGAAAGUUGAGAUUUUCACAACUCCAGAACUUGGAGCUCUGAGGAAAACAAACAUUAAUUACAGUUAUGAGAACUGGCAGAAUUGAGAAGGUGAACUCUGUAUGGUCUUCACCAGUCAAAAUGAAGAGAGCAGGACUGAUGCUUGAUGUUAUGGGCCUGAAACAAUAGAAUUUCUCCCUGCAAAAGCUGUAGGAAUGUGCAAAAGAUGCAAGAUCGUGUACCCCAGAUGGCUCCUUUCUGUCUGGGAGCACUAAAAAGCAGAAGAACAUGAAGAGAACAGGAAAACCCUAAGCUCUAUCGUCAGGCAAUAGGCAGACCUCAGCUGAGUUCAGUGGUUCUUCGGCUCAAUCACUUCCACCAGUUAAGAAUAUAACCCAAGAGAAAAAACCUGAAUCAGUGAAUUAUUACUCUCUGGAAGUUUUGCUGCCUUUCAAAGUUGGAUACAGUAGUUACGUGCACAUGGGUUUUGGUUCUUCUGUACUCUGAAGAGCUGAAAUAGGAUGGAAAAUGACGACAGAGCCGGGCAGUUUGCCUCAGCCACUGUUCUGGGGAGGAGGGUGUGAUAACCAGAGGACGCUCUGGUUCAGAUCAUAUAAUACAGAGAAGAUUGUAGACUCUGCUUCUGCUAAGGCACCCAGGAACUCCUGCUGCAGCCUUCUGUUGUUGUUCUGGUCUGAUUGCAGUCUGCACUCACUCUGAAUGUGUAAAAAUGACAAGAUGACAUAUAGGUAUUGGAAGAGCAAGCUUCAGAAGUUCUUUCCAAUUUUUUGGGGUGUUACUGGCUCCAGCAAUAUUUCCUACAGUUAAUAACCAAAACAGUUCUAGAAAAGAUUAUUCUAUCUGAAGAAUACAUUUUGUUGUAAGGAACAAACGAGAUCAAACCCACACAGUGUAGAGAGAGAAUUACAAAACAUUGUGAAAAUAAUAUUUAAAAUUACUUUCCCAUCUCAUGCUUCAUGGAUUCACUUGUGGCAGUGAAUUGUAUAUGCUAUUGUCAGUGAUGCCCUUAAUUGGGGGUUCUGUGUGUCAGGGUCCGCAGCUGUGUAUGGAGAAAUGACUGCCUCCUACUACAGGAAUCCUUCAACCUCAGCACUGAGCUAAAAAGAAAGUAAUUUCUAUUUCCUAUCCUCCAGCAGGUAUAGUAAUGAAAAAAGCUAAGUGAUUGUAAGCUCUCCUUUAACAUAAAGUUCAUCAAGCCUUAGUUCAAAGUAAUUUGGAGUGAACUUGUAAAAGCCAAUGAAAAGCUAUGCUUACACAUUGCGAUACAGUGUGCCUUGCGAACACAACCAUUCUUUGCAUGCAUCUAAGAGGAGGUGCGUGAGGUUGUUCUUCACAUGCCUAGUGACACUACAGACUCAGACAUCCCAUCCUGAAGUUCUCAGUACUGAUCACUGCCAAGAAGAAGACUAGGGCAAGAUUAAUCUCUGAGGUCACCUCACAUGUAUGAGGUGAAAUUUAAUAGAUUAUUUUGUUGCCUAUCUGUAAUUUAUAAAUCAGCUUCUGAUCCCAGCUUAAUUCCUCUAGCUCCGUCUCCAUUGUUUUCUCUUAACUUGUAUUUCUUCAGCAUCUUAUUUAGGCCAUGAAAGAUUUCCCUGAUGACUGGCUUGGAGAAGGUGUAAGAAAAAGUUUCUUGGAGGGAGAUCAGUAUAUGCCACUCUCCAGAUUCCAGCCUGACCGGGACUUGACCUUCUUGUGCUUUUCUGUGUUGGGUUUGGGUGGGUUUUUUUUAUUAUUAUUUCAGAAAGUUUUGAUGAUGUUACUGUUCAGGAAACAGAGCAAAAGCCCAUUGUUUUCCCAGAUUAUCUCCUCAGAUGCACUCCUGAAAUAUAUUGCUUGGUCCGACUGCAGAUCAACCACAAAUGCUAAAGCAAAUAAUACUGUGGGAGUCUGAAAUUGCAAAUGCCGUUCAGAAUAGUCACAGAUACUUUGAUGUGGGCACUCGCUUUAUAUUUCCUGCAUUUUUUCACUCUAAACAUAGUUUUGCCUUUAACUGUUUUCACACAGUCUCUCAGGUCAUGUCUCUGUGCCAUUAAAUGACACCGUAUAAAUGCUAUGCACCUGAUGCUUUGGUAUAUACUGUACCAGAGCUACACCACUAGUACCUAAAGCAAAGGCAUGGAUUUGGGAGGAUUCAGAUGUCAAGUGCAUAUGCGAGUCACUUGGGAGUUUGAAGUUCUGGGAUUAAUUUGUGUGGUUAUAAGGAUAGGUACUACCCAGUAAUCCAAACCUCCAAACUCAAACGAUUAAAUACCUGACUCUGGAUCUUGACUCUGGCACAUAUGCAAUUCCAGGCAAGAGGAGAAGCUUGUUGUGGCAGAGAAUCUGGGGAUAAAAGAGUGGGAAAUGUCUUGUUUUAAGGGUAUUGCUAUGCCUUCAUAGUGGAGGAAUUGGAAAUACUUUCUUUCCCUCACACUGUACCAUUUUCUUAAUCUCUCUACUGUGCUGGUUGAAAACAUACUGUAAACCUAUUGUACAGCAAAAAGGAUGUUAUCUAAAAAGUUAUUAAUAGCAUAUGUGCACCAAUUCUUGGCGUGUUCUUGCCAGUGCUACAGUAUUUAUAUCCCAUACCUUAAGUAUUAUUGUCUCUUUUUCUUUCUUUGAAAGAACAAUAUUUUUUUCUAUUUCACGCACCAUGGAUAUUUAUCAUACACAUACUUAUUUAUUCCUUUUGGCAACCGUACUUCCAAGAUGCACCAGCCAGAUGGAUUGGGAUGGUCUUUAAAAAUAUUGUGCAGGACAUAAGAGAAGUGGAAAAUCCAUAGCACAAAGA
Molecule: long non-coding RNA, 2797 nt
Organism: Cuculus canorus (common cuckoo)
Lineage: Eukaryota; Metazoa; Chordata; Aves; Cuculiformes; Cuculidae
Exons: 5
Source: RefSeq, a predicted model, not a curated record